Molecule: ribosomal RNA, 494 nt
Filed under: uncultured bacterium
Lineage: Bacteria
Description: partial 16S ribosomal RNA
Rfam family: Bacterial small subunit ribosomal RNA
Source: RNAcentral
GACGAACGCUGGCGGCGUGCUUAACACAUGCAAGUCGAACGGUGAAGCGCCUUCCUUUUUGGUGGGUGUGGAUGAGUGGCGAACGGGUGAGUAACACGUGAGUAACCUGCCCCCUUCUUCUGGAUAACCGCAUGAAAGUGUGGCUAAUACGGGAUAUUCUGGGUCUGUCGCAUGAUGGGUCUGGGAAAGAUAUUGUUUCGGUGGGGGAUGGGCUCGCGGCCUAUCAGCUUGUUGGUGGGGUGAUGGCCUACCAAGGCGGUGACGGGUAGCCGGCCUGAGAGGGUGGACGGUCACACUGGGACUGAGACACGGCCCAGACUCCUACGGGAGGCAGCAGUGGGGAAUAUUGCACAAUGGGCGCAAGCCUGAUGCAGCGACGCCGCGUGAGGGAUGGAAGCCUUCGGGUUGUGAACCUCUUUCGCCAGUGAAGCAGGCCUGCCUCGUUUGUGGGUGGGUUGACGGUAGCUGGAUAAGAAGCGCCGGCUAACUACGUG